GACGAACGCUGGCGGCGCGCCUAACACAUGCAAGUCGAACGGAGUUUCCCCUUCGGGGGGAGCUUAGUGGCGGACGGGUGAGUAACACGUGAGGAACCUGCCUUUGAGAGCGGGAUACCGUCUGGAAACGGACGUUAAUACCGCAUAAUGCAGCGAGGCCACAUGGCCAUGCUGCCAAAGAUUUAUCGCUCAAAGAUGGCCUCGCGCCUGAUUAGAUAGUUGGCGGGGUAACGGCCCACCAAGUCUGCGAUCAGUAGCCGGACUGAGAGGUCGAACGGCCACAUUGGGACUGAGAUACGGCCCAGACUCCUACGGGAGGCAGCAGUGGGGGAUAUUGCACAAUGGGCGAAAGCCUGAUGCAGCGACGCCGCGUGAGGGAAGACGGUUUUCGGAUUGUAAACCUCUGUCUUUCGGGGACGAAACAAGACGGUACCCGAGGAGGAAGCCACGGCUAACUACGUGCCAGCAGCCGCGGUAAACGUAGCGUG
This 488-nucleotide ribosomal RNA is filed under the name uncultured bacterium. Its description in RNAcentral is "bacterial SSU rRNA". It matches the Rfam family "Bacterial small subunit ribosomal RNA", at positions 28 to 533 of the family's 1533-position model. The record is from RNAcentral.